This 406-nucleotide long non-coding RNA is filed under the name Hordeum vulgare. RNAcentral's name for it is "long non-coding RNA (HVUL_LNC006502)". The record is from RNAcentral. Lineage: Eukaryota; Viridiplantae; Streptophyta; Magnoliopsida; Poales; Poaceae.
ACAGAGCUCUUGCAAAAUUUAGUAUAUAGCCCGGUGACCUCCCGAAGCCACGGAAGAUGACCGAGUGAUUGUCAAUGGUUUUUUAAUUAGGCAUUGAACACCGCGGCAUCAAUCACAUAAAAAGCCAUGAACAUCUCCUGAUUAUAUCCUAGAAGCUCUCGAAAAACUUCAGAAACCACCAAGACUUGUGCUUAAGCUUGAUUUUAGGAAAGCAUUUGACAAGUGGAUCGGGUGCUUCUUCUUUCGGGGAGCUAUGGUGGGCGGACGUGGAUAUGCGGCAUUCUUGCUUCGGCUUCAACGACAAUGAUCGUCUGGUUCUCACAAACUCAGUAGAACAGAGCUGGGCUACAGGAAUCAACUGGGGUAAGAAAUAGAUAGAGAAACUAAAAUGUAUCCAUGUCAGUAG